CCGUCAUGCGUUUGUUUCAGAUGAAUAAAUAACUGCACCAUGGAAACAAUGUCAUUUGCAAACUUUUUGAACCUGUGCUGGGCGUUCACAUUGACAUUUCUUGUUCAACAGGAAUACAUGAUGUCGACCAACAGUACAGCUAGAUGAAGAUAUAAAUUUAUUCAAAGAAAUAAUGGGACAAUGAAUGCUAAAAUUGCCAAGAAGAAGACUGCCAAUUUACACACCAUUUUGUACAGUUACAGUAUGAUAUGGUGAACAAAAUGCCCUCAAUGCAGCCAGUUCUGGAGCUUUGGCUAGACUAUGAACAGUAGACAUCGAAAGAUGAUCAUCUGAAGGGCCACAAUUGUUUAAAGCACUGGUCAACAAAAACUGAACUAUUUGAUGGAUCAUACAUGUGCAGAAUGUACUACCAUAUUUCCAGAAUCAGAGAAAUAGAAAUAUCAAGUAUUAAAGAGAAAGAAAAGAAUGCAUCAUGUAUGAAGAACU
Long non-coding RNA from Mercenaria mercenaria, 486 nucleotides. RefSeq lists it as uncharacterized. Lineage: Eukaryota; Metazoa; Mollusca; Bivalvia; Venerida; Veneridae. The record is from RefSeq and is a predicted model, not a curated record. The transcript is spliced from 4 exons.